CAAAAGAACAACUUUGUAGAUAUGGCUAUAUUAAUGUUUUUCAUUUCACUGGCUUUGCAGCUUUGUAAUUCAGAUAUAAGUCUGUCUCCAUUUCCUACUUGUAGAAGAGCCGUAAACCCAAGGAGUUUAAUGUGCACAAAGCCCAGUAUAAGUAAUUAGAUAACAGAAACUUUUGUAACAGAAUUUUUUUUCUUUAGAAGUCAGGCAAAUCUGUGAGGCUUUGGCCUUCAAGGAGGGAUGGUGCUGCUGCUGGGACCUCGUGCAAUCUGUCAGUUUCAGGGCCUGAGUGGGGACAGUGUGUCUCCAUAUACAGCUGAGGUGGUAGGCUGCCAACAGUUAUCUCCAGGACAGCCUAUUACAAAUGUUACCGCUAAAGACAUUUUGGUUCGCCCUCCCGCUGUUCUAUGCAAUAGGGAGACUCGAUAACUUUGCCUCUCUGAUUUGCAAAUCCAGAUUUUGUUUGGAGAUCAUGUUAGAAUGGAAGAAAAAAGAUGGCUGCUGAUCUCAUUAACUGCAGAUGGGACAGGGCAGUUUUUUCCAGAUGAACUGUACUCAGAAGAUUCAUACUUUUCAGGAAAUCAUGCACCCAUUGAAAAAGAAGACUAAAAUCAUGAAAGCAGGCAAGAAAUUUCAGCUUUGACGAUUAAAAAACGAAUUCUGUGUAAAACCAAAAGUGAUAAAGAAGAGAAACAGAGAAGGAAAAGUCAUGCAGUAUCUUAAUCAAGACUGGGCAACACUGGAGUAGUAAAUCUGUUUAGCAGUUCAAGGUCCCAAGGUUUUUGUAUUUCCUUUGAAGAACUUGAGUUGACACAGUGUGUGGCUUUGACAUCAUGGACCAAAAUACUCCUUUACCUUGGGAUGGCAGGUGCAGCAAAUCUGCAUGACUCCUCAAAAAACUUCCCUGAAUCUGGAAAUCAUCAGCUUAAACUACAAAGUUUGGCCUUGGCCUUCAAAGUGAAAACCUUGAAAGAAAGGACUGUAUGAAGAAUCAAGCCUGCACAGUUGGUGGUCUUCACCUAUUUUCACAAAAUAGAACCAUUGUGAAGAGCAACCUGGCGAUACUGAGAGGAAUUAAUCCUAAGCUCACUUCAGGAGCCAACAGGUACUCUUUUUGAGGUCCUUAUGGGGUCAGAGACGAAGAUGUUCAUAAGCAGCAUUGUUGCAGGGUAGGGUGGGGGGUUGGAGCAGCCUGGGUGUCCACCACUAGACAAAGUGAUAAAAUAGUGUGGAUAAAUACUGUAAAAUUCAUUAGAAAUCUUGAGUCUUAUGUACAUACCAAUAUAUACAUCUUUUUAAAAAUAUAUAAGAUCCAAAGCAUAAUUCCUUUCACAUAAAUUAGAAACACCAUCACUCACAAAAGGACAUACUUUAGAAGAAAAACAUCAGUGAACUAUAGGACUAUUAGUGGGUGGGAACCCUUUCCAGGGAAGGGAACGUAGGAACGAGGGCCAGAUAAAAGGGAAAAUACAAGAGGUUUUGUAGACUUGAUAGAGUAGCAAGGACUAAAGGAUAUUACCAACGGUGUUUAUUUUUUAAAUAAAGUUUAUUUUGAGAGCGCACAUGUGCACCAGCACGAGCACAAGGAGGGGAGGGGCAGAGAGGGAAAGACAGAAUCCCAAGCAGGCUCCUCACUGUCAAUGCAGAGCCCAAUGCAGGGCUUUAACUCACAAACCACAAGAUGACCACCUGAACUGAGAUCAAGAGGCAGACACUUAGUGUAGGACUUUGGCUUAUGUCGUGAUCCUUGUGGUUCCUGAGUUUGAGCCCCACAUUGGGCUCGCUGCUCUCACCAGAGCCUGCUUUGGAUUCUCUGUCCCCCUCUCUGCCCCUCCCCUGCUUUUGCUCUCAAAAAAAUUUAAGUAAUCUCUACACCCAACUUGGGGCUCAAACUUACAAUUCAGAGAUCGAGUUGCAUGCUCUACUAACUGAGCCAGCCAGGGGCCCCCUACUGUCUACUCUUGUCUAAAAAUUCUUAUCCCUCCACACACCAGUGGAAAAAGCAACUUAAAUACUAUUCCCAAGUGAAUCCCACAACAAAGGGGGUUUUGACCUUGUAGGUGUAGGUCAAAGUAAGCAUCCAAGUUGGAGAGGAUUACCUACAGGCUUGUCUCUCAAUCUGGUCAUUAAACGUAUAUCAGCAUCAGCAGAAUUGCUCCUUGACCUAUAAUUCUCCACCCUCACAUGUCUACAGAAACAGGUUAUUAGUCUAAAAGAAAGCAGUGCAUGGGUGUCAAACGGGGUUCACAAACACUAUAUAAAGUUUCCUGGGGCUGCCAUAACAAACUAUAACAAAGUAGGUGGCUUAAAACAAAACACACAAUUCUAGAAACCAGAAGUCUGAAACUAGAGUAUUGACAGGAUCAUGCUCCCUCCAAAGGAUCUAGGGAAGAAUACUUCCUUGUGACUUAACCCUAGUUAUGCAAGAUGUUUUACCACUGGGGGGAGAAGGGUGAAAGGUACAUGGGACAGUACUAUUUUCUCAACAUCCUGUAUCAUUUCACAAGCAGAGCAAAAAAGUACUUUUAGUUUUACAAAAGUAAAGAAAAACUAGGAGGGGCGCAUAGAUAGCUCAGUCGGUUAAGCAUCAGACUUCGGCUCAGGUCAUGAUCUCGCAGUUGAGUUUAAACCCUGCAUCAGGCUCUCUGCUGUCGACACAGACCUGCUUCAGAUCCUGUAACCCUCCCUCUCUUCCCCUCCCCCACUCAUGUUCUUUCAAAAAUAAGUGAACAUUAAAAAAAGAAAACUGGGAUUAAAAACCCUGUUAGCCAGUAAUAGCAAUACAAUGCAGCAAAGUAUGAUAAUGGAGUACCUAUGAUUAAUAUCUUCAGUUUUCCCACCCACAUGCUCACAACAUAACUGGAAAUGGAUUCCUGUGGUGCUCAUUCUAAAAACGGGUGGGGUGAGUGCCUUGGCUGGCUCAGUCGGUGGAGCAUGUGACUCCUGAUCUUGGGGUUGUAACUUUGAGCCCCACACUGAGUGUAGAGAUUACUUACAAUAAAAUCUUAAAUAAAUAAAAAUAAAAAAUGGAGGGCAACCAGCCUUACUUUAUAUCUAUUGGCCACAAAGAAGGAUUUCCCAUCUACUAAGGUGUAUCAUGUUGGGCACAAAUAUCACCUUGCAGAAUCUUACAAGACACCCACGAGGAAAGAAUGAACCCAGGUACAGAUGAAAGAACUGAACUCAAGAAGCAUUAGUAACUUGCCUGGGGUCACACAGUAAAAUUAGAACUCCAAGCCAGGUGUACUGAGGCCAGGGCAUUUGAAAUAGCAAUCAAUUUGCAGAAAGGCCCAUGAAGGCCAGAGUCAGAAGGACUGAACUGAGAAAAGAAGUGUAUUUCAAAAGCUGGGUUUUUUUUUUUUUUUUUGGUAAACUGAAUAUACUAAAUAAGCCCUUGACACAAAAGCCAUAAAAUGAUUACAUCAUUCUCUUAGUUUCUUCAGUUAUCAAUACAUUACAAAUCAUUUUUUUAAUUCUAGACUAACAAUUGACAAUAC
Felis catus (domestic cat) is the source of this 3494-nucleotide long non-coding RNA. RefSeq lists it as uncharacterized. Lineage: Eukaryota; Metazoa; Chordata; Mammalia; Carnivora; Felidae. The record is from RefSeq and is a predicted model, not a curated record. The transcript is spliced from 3 exons.